GACGAACGCUGGAGGCGUGCUUAACACAUGCAAGUCGAACGAUGAAAUGGAGCUUGCUCCAUGGAUUAGUGGCGAACGGGUGAGUAACACGUGAAUAACCUGCCCUUAAUUUUGGAAUAACCCAGGGAAACCUGGGCUAAUACCGGAUAAGUAAACCUGUGGCAUCACAUGGUUUUGGAAAGUUUUUCGAUUAAGGAUGGAUUCGCGGCCUAUUAGCUUGUUGGUGAGGUAAUGGCUCACCAAGGCGACGACGGGUAGCCGGCCUGAGAGGGUGAACGGCCACACUGGGACUGAGACACGGCCCAGACUCCUACGGGAGGCAGCAGUGGGGAAUAUUGCGCAAUGGACGAAAGUCUGACGCAGCGACGCCUCGUGAGGGACGAAGGUCUUCGGAUUGUAAACCUCUUUCAGCAGGGACGAAGCGAAAGUGACGGUACCUGCAGAAGAAGCACCGGCUAACUAUGUGCCAGCCGCCGCCGUAA
RNAcentral lists this ribosomal RNA (482 nucleotides) under uncultured bacterium. Its description in RNAcentral is "partial 16S ribosomal RNA". It matches the Rfam family "Bacterial small subunit ribosomal RNA", at positions 28 to 523 of the family's 1533-position model. The record is from RNAcentral.